RNAcentral lists this ribosomal RNA (450 nucleotides) under uncultured bacterium. RNAcentral describes it as "partial 16S ribosomal RNA". It matches the Rfam family "Bacterial small subunit ribosomal RNA", at positions 354 to 796 of the family's 1533-position model. The record is from RNAcentral.
GUGGGGAAUAUUGGACAAUGGGCGCAAGCCUGAUCCAGCAAUGCCGCGUGUGUGAAGAAGGCCUUCGGGUUGUAAAGCACUUUUGUUAGGGAGGAAAGUCUGGUAGCUAAUAACUGCGAGAUAUGACGUUACCUAAAGAAUCAGCACCGGCUAACUCUGUGCCAGCAGCCGCGGUAAUACAGAGGGUGCAAGCGUUAAUCGGAAUUACUGGGCGUAAAGGGUCUGUAGGCGGAUUAUUAAGUCGGAUGUGAAAUCCCCGGGCUCAACCGGGGAACGGCAAUCGAUACUGGUAGUCUAGAGUGUGCAAGAGGAUGGGGGAAUUCCUGGUGUAGCAGUGAAAUGCGUAGAGAUCAGGAGGAACAUCAAUGGCGAAGGCGCCUUUCUGGGGCAACACUGACGCUGAGAGACGAAAGCGUGGGGAGCAAACAGGAUUAGAAACCCUGGUAGUCC